AUGAACGCUGGCGGCGUGCCUAAUACAUGCAAGUCGAGCGAACAGACGAGGGGCUUGCUCCUCUGACGUUAGCGGCGGACGGGUGAGUAACACGUGGAUAACCUACCUAUAAGACUGGGAUAACUUCGGGAAACCGGAGCUAAUACCGGAUAAUAUAUUGAACCGCAUGGUUCAAUAGUGAAAGACGGUUUUGCUGUCACUUAUAGAUGGAUCCGCGCCGCAUUAGCUAGUUGGUAAGGUAACGGCUUACCAAGGCAACGAUGCGUAGCCGACCUGAGAGGGUGAGCGGCCACACUGGAACUGAGACACGGUCCAGACUCCUACGGGAGGCAGCAGUAGGGAAUCUUCCGCAAUGGGCGAAAGCCUGACGGAGCAACGCCGCGUGAGUGAUGAAGGUCUUCGGAUCGUAAAACUCUGUUAUUAGGGAAGAACAAAUGUGUAAGUAACUAUGCACGUCUUGACGGUACCUAAUCAGAAAGCCACGGCUAACUACGUG
This 496-nucleotide ribosomal RNA is filed under the name uncultured bacterium. Its description in RNAcentral is "partial 16S ribosomal RNA". It matches the Rfam family "Bacterial small subunit ribosomal RNA", at positions 29 to 507 of the family's 1533-position model. The record is from RNAcentral.